GACGAACGCUGGCGGCGUGCUUAACACAUGCAAGUCGAACGGAAAGGCCCUGCUUUUGUGGGGUGUUCGAGUGGCGAACGGGUGAGUAACACGUGAGUAACCUGCCCUUGACUUUGGGAUAACUUCAGGAAACUGGGGCUAAUACCGGCUAGGAGCUCCUGCUGCAUGGUGGGGGUUGGAAAGUUUCGGCGGUUGGGGAUGGACUCGCGGCUUAUCAGCUUGUUGGUGGGGUAGUGGCUUACCAAGGCUUUGACGGGUAGCCGGCCUGGGAGGGUGACCGGCGACAUGGGGACUGAGAUACGGCGCAGACUCCUACGGGAGGCAGCAGUGGGGAGUAUUGCACAAUGGGCGGAAGCCUGAUGAAGCAGCGCCGCGUGCGGGAUGACGGCCUUCGGGUUGUAAACCGCUUUCGCCUGUGACGAAGCGUGAGUGACGGUAAUGGGUAAAGAAGCACCGGCUAACUACGUG
RNAcentral lists this ribosomal RNA (468 nucleotides) under uncultured bacterium. RNAcentral's name for it is "partial 16S ribosomal RNA". It matches the Rfam family "Bacterial small subunit ribosomal RNA", at positions 28 to 507 of the family's 1533-position model. The record is from RNAcentral.